RNAcentral lists this ribosomal RNA (465 nucleotides) under uncultured bacterium. RNAcentral's name for it is "partial 16S ribosomal RNA". It matches the Rfam family "Bacterial small subunit ribosomal RNA", at positions 28 to 507 of the family's 1533-position model. The record is from RNAcentral.
GACGAACGCUGGCGGCGUGCUUAACACAUGCAAGUCGAACGGAAAGGCCCCUUUGGGGGUACUCGAGUGGCGAACGGGUGAGUAACACGUGAGUAACCUGCCCUUGACUUCGUGAUAACUUCAGGAAACUGGGGCUAAUACCGGAUAGGAAUCCUUGCUGCAUGGUGGGGGUUGGAAAGCUUCGGCGGUUUUGGAUGGACUCGCGGCUUAUCAGCUUGUUGGUGGGGUAGUGGCUUACCAAGGCUUUGACGGGUAGCCGGCCUGAGAGGGCGACCGGCCACAUUGGGACUGGGAUACGGCCCAGACUCCUACGGGAGGCAGCAGUGGGGAAUAUUGCACAAUGGGCGGAAGCCUGAUGCAGCAACGCCGCGUGCGGGAUGACGGCCUUCGGGUUGUAAACCGCUUUCAGCAGGGGAGAAGCUUGUGGUGACGGUACCUGCAGAAGAAGCACCGGCUAACUACGUG